RNAcentral lists this ribosomal RNA (253 nucleotides) under uncultured bacterium. RNAcentral's name for it is "partial 16S ribosomal RNA". It matches the Rfam family "Bacterial small subunit ribosomal RNA", at positions 524 to 776 of the family's 1533-position model. The record is from RNAcentral.
GACAGAGGGUGCAAACGUUGCUCGGAAUCACUGGGCGUAAAGGGCGCGUAGGCGGAUAGAUAAGUCGGGCGUGAAAUCCCUAGGCUCAACCUAGGAACUGCACUCGAAACUGUUUGCCUUGAGUACCGGAGAGGAAAGCGGAAUACCUGGUGUAGAGGUGAAAUUCGUAGAUAUCAGGUGGAACACCAGUGGCGAAGGCGGCUUUCUGGACGGUAACUGACGCUGAGGCGCGAAAGCGUGGGGAGCAAACAGG